Haplochromis burtoni (Burton's mouthbrooder) is the source of this 6766-nucleotide long non-coding RNA. RefSeq lists it as uncharacterized. Lineage: Eukaryota; Metazoa; Chordata; Actinopteri; Cichliformes; Cichlidae. The transcript is spliced from 2 exons. The record is from RefSeq and is a predicted model, not a curated record.
AGUUUCUCUUUUUCUCUCCAUAUCUCACCAUCUCUUUCAAAUGCUUCUGAGAAAUGUACGAAUGAGGCAAGACCGCCUUACCCAAACUGAUUCUCUCGCCAACAGUAUUGCUACAUCCCUCUCGCUGCCCAGCAUUACCUUUUUUAACCCUUUUUCAUCAGAAUUCCUUUUGGUUCGUGCAAGCACACAAGGCCUCAUCUUUGGCCCCUCGUCGUCUUAUGUCACCAGUCCCUCCCUCGCAAUUUACCAACCUUACUUGAUCCUCCAGGGGGCCACAAAAGGCAAACAAAAUAGAUUUCCCCCCUUCCUUUCCUGCCCUCCCCUCAUCACUCUGCCAUCUCUCGUUCUCCUGUUCACAACCAGAGAUAUGCCCCCUCGCACAUUUCCCAAAUUCCUUGAGAUCUGGCUUCAAGAGCCAGCGCCUAGGGCCAGGAAUGCCACCGCUGCCUGCGUUCAAAAGGGAAGCCUCUGUGUGCACACAUGCCGACAAACACACACCCACAGCUCUCUAGAGCGCCCUGUAAUCAGGCUCUGUUUUGACCUUGACACACACAGAGAAGAAAGCACUAAUGACUACACUCACACAGGAGGUUGUUCUUUUGUACUGUGGUAUGUACACCAAAGGCAUUCGCUCUCCUGCGUCCCCCUCUGAUCCACCCACUGACCCUUGUACACACUUCACACACCCAUUGCGCACCUCAGUGUCCAGCCUUCGCAAAUUUUCAGGAAGAGUCCAGAGGUUUUUAGGAGCCAUUGAUCACUGUGCCAGUCCCAGAAGCAGGGUCAUAUGGUUUCCUAUGACUUAGGAGCUGCUGAAUCAGGAAUCUACCUGCUCCCAUGUCAGGGGUCCUCAGUGCACACCCUCACUGUGUGAAGUGUGCAUCUUGUAGCUCUGAGGCUGCCCUCUCUUUGCACCAACUUUCUUCUGACUGGCUGAGGCUGCUGUGCUUGAGAUGACCAUAUUAAGUACAUCCACUGUUGCUGACAUCACACAGAUGCAGACUUGAAAAAAGCUGUCUGAAACCAAGUGUUUAUACAACAGUCUGAAUUUAGUCCAUUGUAACAGUUGUAUGACAGAAAUUAAUGGAACACAAACUAGUUCCCCUUAAAGGGUACAGCUGUUGUAUUGCAACUUCCACAGUGUUCUCCUCUUUUGCAAAGCUUCAUCACAGUUUUAUUAGUCUUGCUAAAUUUUUGAUUGCGGUGCCACUAAGAUACAUGAAUUAUGAUGCUGAUUCCAAAAAUGUUGCCUUCUGAAGCAAAAACAGCAACACUGCGACUGAAGCAAAGAACGGGUAAACACGACUAAAAAUCUGUUUAGCAUUUGGUUCCAAUUUUAGGUGCUUGACAGUUCUUUUUUUCACAGCCACUAACACAUUUUGCUAAUCCAGCACAGAUUGUUUUGCUGUAGCAAAGUUGGCAGCGCAGAGAUCAACAGGAAGUGAGCCAUCGUAGAAAUAAAGCAAUGUGUGCAUGUGCCAGAAGAGCUAAGAACCCAUUACAGGGUACACAUUGCAGGGCAGCUGAGAUAGGAUCUGGAAUGAUGGGGUUUGAAGGUUUUUAAUAAGGUACAGCAGCUAAUGUUUCAGCACAGAGUAUGACUUCAUCAGAGGGAGAAGAGGAGGCUUUGGCAGUGUGGAUGUUCAGAGUGCCUGCACCCAGCUAAUAAGUGUCUCUCAUAGCAUGAACAGGUUUUACGUGUGUCUAGCCAAUACCUUAUUCCGAAAGAAUGUAUUAUUAUACAUCCUGGGUUUGUGAGACAUGUCUAUCCACUGCUCUUUUUAUGCUUGAAUAAUCACUCAUGAAAGUUGUACGUUUCUUUUAUCUUAUCCACCAAAGUUUUGCUGCUUUUAGCGAAACUUGAGGGUAAUUUUUUCCUCACUUUUCUGAUAUUGUACCCGUUCAUACCUCAGCAAUGUCCUGCUCCUGAAUUGUUACACGUCACAACUGCUGAUGUGAAGCAGACUUUGGUGUUGUUUCGGCUUGUUGUGACCCCUCUAUCACAACAAGGCACAAGAGUGUGUUUCCGGUUCAAUCUCUGCAGACAGUGGCGUGAUGUACCUCAAUAGUUAGAAUAACUUUCAAGACCGUAGUGUUUUUUUGUUUGAUUGUUUUUUUUAAGGCAUAGGCAGCCUGUAUUCCAAGGCUGAAGAGGAAAGAUGCCCACAAGCAGAGGAAAAAGUGCACCUGGAAGACAGUGACCUGGGAAAACUGCCACAUUAGCUCCUCUCGCAACUCGUUGAUCAAAUGCCAAUUUUUGCUGAUUUAUUUCCCCAAAGAACUUCUGUUGACACCCUCUACAAACAAAAAUCAGAGUUUUACAGAAAACAAAGUGCUGUGCUGAAGGAAAGACGUACAGAUGGUUAACUGAAAAUCAGUUGCUGUACACCAUUCUUUACUUGACAUAUUUUACCUUAACCAACAAAAGCAGGUGCAGGUUUUGCACCUGCACAUGUUACUGUAUAUGAAUGUUGGUCCUAAGUGAGGCUAAGCAGGCUGAGAACCCUGAAAAUAAGCUGACUGUGGUUCGUUGUCAUUUGUUUACUACAGCUCUAAUUACAUAGAUGCUCAGCUAAUGUAAUGAAACUGACAUUAUAUCUUGUAAUAACAUUAGCUAGCUACUUGUCAACCAUCCUAGCAUUUCAGUCUGCGCGCUGUUUUAAUAAAAGGAUUUAUUUUUAAGUAUAAAAGGUCAUUAUUUCAUGAUUGCUCACCUUACUCAAUUCAGUUGAAUUCUGCUGAUACUGGUACCAACUACUAAAUUUCUAGUGUCUUGACCUCCCUAUUUAGGACUCGAGCUAACUCAUCUGGAGGUCUAAUGGCCCAGGAGUCAUUCCUCCUGCGCCAUCUUUGAAGUCCACUGCCUGGUGUGCAUGCAUUGUUGGUGCAUUGUAAUGUAAAUUCUCCGUGGACUUGCAGGCAUGCAGACAUUGACCCAGACCCUCAAAAUGACAAAAUGUACACUACCAAGCAAACUUAUGGAUAAAUAUGACCAAGAAUGACUCCUGCCUCAUAUAAUGCUCUUGGUCAAGAAAACGACAUAGUUUGCAUGCACCUAUCAGGAUUAAUGUACAUUAUACAUGUGUUAGAGAUGCUGUGGACAGAGUCUGCGCAUUGUUUUUUAUUUGCCAUUAAACCUAAAGGUAUCCAGUCUCCACACACCAAUAAUAUUGCCCUGGUUUAUCUGCCAAGAUGUGUCUUUGUAAUCCGAUCCCUCUCAUGCUAAAACAGCUUUUCUGCCCAGACUUCACACAGAUGUUGCUUGCCUUACACUAGCAGGGCCCUCGCAGGCUCCCCCACUCUAAAAUGGCAGAUCAUCAGCUCGCUGUGUGGUUCAAUUCUCCUUGAAGACAGGAGCAGAAUAUUGAAGACUACAGCUCUUUGUAUAAAUACAUAAUGAUACAGUGGGCAUGGCGAACUGUACAAGUUUUAGAGAUGUAUCCUUGUGCAACACGGGAGCUCGGUGUAAUAAAAAAUAAAUCAUGUCUCUAGUUGUUUUCAGUGUUGAUGCAGACAUAAAAAUGCAGAGGAGCUGAACUUAAGUUCUGUAGGCUGAGCCUUUUUCCUGUGUGCUGUUUUUGUUGAGGCACAUUACAUCAGCAGCCACCAAUCCAUCCCAUAGUUCUAACAACCUCACUAAGAUCUGUAGCCAGUUCUAAUCUCCUUCUGCCUUUCCUUUUUUUUUUUCCUUCUAUUUUUUCUCCCUCAUUUCUGUGAAGCGGUUUCCUUUUUUCCCUCUCGCAGCAAAGCGUUUCUGAAUUCAAAUCGCUCCUUGGUGAACUCACUGAGUGCCAACUCAGUGGAUGUGGAGGCGCAAACUUUGUGAGUGGCGUCAUUUUUGAUGUACACCCUUGUUCCUGACAAGGUUUUUGUCACUCCGGAACAAGGGUGUAUAUCAAAAAUGUCUUUCCAGCAGCUACCCCCACUCCUCUUCCACCUCCACCCCCCCAACCUGUCCCACGCAAGCCUGUGCACACACACAUACACCCCAACUUCAUUAGCAUACAUCAAGCCUCCCCAACAAUGUGACAAACUUCAUUUGAACGUUGAAAGUGUUGAGGGCUUGUUCCUUUCUGCUGGCAGCUGUCAAAAACCAUGCCAUGUGACGGUACCAAACGCAAGGGAAAGUCAAAACCACAAUCUAAAGACUAUAUAUAGAUGAAAUGUUGUCAUUUUAAGAUGACUGGGAGGGGAAAACGACUGCUGCUCCUCACAGUCUUCAAAACUAGAGAAUCACGCUUCAUCAAGAACAAACAAAAUCAUCUCUCAAAGAGCUUCUGAGAUGAAACCAGAUUUCUCUUUAGAAAGUCAGCGUCCCCUUUCAUUGCUCAGAGAAAAUAGUGGCGCACUUUUUUUCUCUCUGUGAUUCCCUUCCUCUCUUUUCUUUCCUAUUCACUUGCAUCUGCAGUCCGUCAGUGACCAAAGAACCUCAUGGAAGGUUUGAUCAGCAGUAUUGUUCAAAGGCAUCAAACAUCUGUCCUAAUAAGUGAGGAGCCUUUUUUCUCAGAUGCCGUCACGUCUCCUUCCACCUGUCAGAAAAAUAAACAUGCCUUUGCUGCAAAAAUCAUGUUGAAAGAAAAGUAAAAUGUGUUUGCGUGAAGAAAAGGAGAGAUGCGAGCAGAGGGACCUCGGAUAGGGCAGGAAAAUGCAAAGUCGAAGAAAAGGCGUCUCUUAGGAAACGAGUCAGACAUCUGCGGAGAGUUAGAUGCUUCUGUCUUGAAUUUUAACUCCAUUGUGAGACAUGGUGGAGUCAGAAAUUUGAAUUGAUAUUAUACCUAUUCUUGUCUGCUUUAUGCUGUAACUGCUGUCUGUUAGAUGUGUUGUUAUGAACAAAAAAAAAAAAAAGAGUCCUGCUUCCACCCACACAUGUUGCAUAGUAAACUGUGGCUAAGCUUUAGAUCAGGGAAGGCAAAUGUUGUGGUCUGCUACACUGUAGAAAGAGCAGAAAUACACCCUCAGGUUAAAGGAGCCCUAUAUAUAUGCUUUUCCCUAUGUACUCCUAUGUACUCUCUUACAGUGGUGGAUGCUUAAAUUAAACAUGGCCAAAGUUUGAAAUAAUGAGGUAUGCACAAGCGAGCCAAAAGCUCAGGCUUCAGGCUGCUCUAAAUUGUACACAAGUUUCUACUCUUGGAUCCCUGUAAUGUUAGUAUAGACAUCAGGCACACAGCAGCCCUGCCUCUCCCACCACCACCACUGCCAUCACCUGCUAUUCAAACGUUCUCUUUACGAGGGGCAGCCAAUCAGAAAUUAGAUUUAAAGCUAUGCAAUUAACUUGCAAUCUUAUUGCCUAUGAAAUGGCAGCUUUGAAGAUGGAGACCAGGUCUGCAAUUAUUCUCAGUCAGCUGCUGUCUUCAGAGCGACUUUAGUGCAUCAAGACGGCAAUAAAAUCGAGUCCGUUAGAUGGAGUCGCUCUGCUACCAGUUUGCAGUCAAAUGAGAUCAAGUUGGCAAUUACUUGUAAUCUGUUUGUAUAAGACAAACUUGUCAUCUACAGAAAUUUAGUGUCCAUCCAGAAUCUCUUGGAUCUGAAACAUAAAUUCAACAAUUCCUCCACAGAUAGUGACAUAGUUAAGAUUUAACUGCAGCACAACAUAAGCACUUGGCAAACUUUGAUUUUUAUAUAAGAUCCAAUACAACCAGCUGCCAGCCAGCUAUGGUGAGUCUGUUAUUGCAAAGAAAAGCGUCAUAGACAGUGGACACUCAUCGGUGCAGCAUGUUAGCAAUCUGCUUGUGUUUAUAAAUUAGAUGGCAGUUAUUUGCAAAGCCUUCACCAACCUGUCUAAGAGCGAUUGUAGUGAGUCUGAGUCACAUCACUAUUGUUUGGAGGUCGGUUACCUCCUAUCAGGCAACCUGUCCAAUCGCUUUGCAAUGAAAAAGUUGGUUGUGCAACACCCUCAACCUCUGGGGGACCGGUUAGUCACCGCAACUACUUGCAGCCAAAAAAAAGAUCAAUGCAAUCAGCAGGAAAACGCCACUUUUCCUAAUCACAUGCAGGCUGCUUUUCUAUUUUUACUCUUGUGUGACUGAGCUAUAAAACAUCUUGUUUCAGAGGAUGAACUGAAGGGCUGCACAAAGGGCUCGGUGAAAGAUAAACGUAUUAUUUUAACUGUGACUCAUCCAAAGCUGCUCUAGGACAAUCCAAGAAUGACAAAUAUGCAGCUGGAAAUUUGUAUAACAGGUAUAAUUCAUCUGGAUUUGAGGUGUAUUUUGUGUUUCUGUGUUCAUGGAAUAUGUAUGUGCUGUGCUGUUCCCAUCAUAUGAUUUUAUGAUGGGAACAGCAACAGAAAAUUCAAGUAAUAUUUUCUCUCACAGCCACUCUUUCAGCGCCAUAACCAUGAAGUCGUUGGUGCGAAUGUAAGCUGUAUGACCUUACCGUGUCAUAUAAUACAUGAAAUUUUCUAGUUUGUCGCCCUUACGACCGUAUGUUUAUCAUCCAGCCGCCGUGAAUGCGUUAUUGCUGCCUUGCCGAAUGUAUGGGACAGAAAACGGAGACAGCAUUGCCGCAAAGGAGCUUGUAAUUUAGGCAAAGCGGAUUUCUCGUUGCUGCGGUGACGGCACCAUACAUGAAUCAAGAAUGCAACACUGAGGAACUUGGCUUUUGAAGAAUCUAAGACUUAUAUUCAGAGUGGUUGGAAAGGGAUGUGUUUAUUCAACCAUUGUUUAUUGCUUCGGUCUGAGGUAGUGAAGUGUGUUUUGUCUUGGCUUGCCGUUUUGUUAUGACUACAGGAGCUGCUAUAGAUAGAGACAGACAUUUUGAAAAUCUGCAC